RNAcentral lists this ribosomal RNA (497 nucleotides) under uncultured bacterium. RNAcentral's name for it is "partial 16S ribosomal RNA". It matches the Rfam family "Bacterial small subunit ribosomal RNA", at positions 28 to 507 of the family's 1533-position model. The record is from RNAcentral.
GAUGAACGCUGGCGGCGUGCCUAAUACAUGCAAGUCGAGCGAACAGACGAGGAGCUUGCUCCCCCGACGUUAGCGGCCGACGGGCGAGUAACCCGCGGAUAACCUACUUAUCAGCCUGGGAUAACUCUGGGAAACCGUAGCCAAUACCCUAUAAUAUAUUGAACCGCAUGGUUCCAUAGUGAAAGUCGGUUUUGCUGUCACUUACAGAUGGAUCCGCGCCGCACUAGCUAGUUCGUAAGGUAACGGCCUACCAAGGCAACGAUGCGUAGCCGACCUGAGAGGGUGAUCGGCCACGCUGGCACUGAGACACGGUCCAGACUCCUACGGGAGGCCGCAGUAGGGAAUCUUCCGCAAUGGGCGAAAGCCUGACGGAGCAACGCCGCGUGAGUGAUGACGGUCUUCGGAUCGUAAAACUCUGUUAUUAGGGAAGAACAAAUGUGUAAGUAACUAUGCACGUCUUGACGGUACCUAAUCAGAAAGCCACGGCUAACUACGUG